Non-coding RNA from Rhizobiales bacterium TMED25, 289 nucleotides. NCBI's taxonomy places the organism in Bacteria, Pseudomonadati, Pseudomonadota, Alphaproteobacteria, Hyphomicrobiales. The record is from Rfam.
CUUCUUCGAUUUGCUGAGGGCUUAUAAAAUGUAUAUGAGCAUCAAUCCCACCAGCAGUUACAAUUUUUCCUUCUCCAGCAAUAAUAUCAGUUCCUGGACCAAUAAUAAUAUCUACAUCAGAUUGUAUAUCUGGAUUACCAGCCUUACCAAUCUUAUAAAUUGACCCAUCAACAAUACCGAUAUCUGCUUUUACAACUCCCCAAUAAUCUAGAAUAACUGCGUUUGUAAUUACUGUAUCUACGGCACCUUCUGCGUUUGUAACUUGACUUUGCCCCAUCCCAUCUCUGAU